CUAUUUUGUUGGCUAUAUAUGUAUACAUUUUCUGAGGUUUGAUCUGCUAUAAUUUGGUCAAAUUGGGUAUUAUUGAUUAGAUACUGUGUGUGCUUAUUAUGGAACUGAUAUUUGGUAGGCAUAGAGUCAAGCCUUAAAUAAAGAUCUAAGGAUCCUGCUCUCCUCCAAUAAUGACUCAGUGAUCAGAAGUUAGACUCAACCUGACCAUAUGCCUUAGAACAAUGAAGAUGAAUCUUUUAGAGACUGAGUGCCCAAACUGCAACCCUCAUACCACAGAAUAGAAUAGCCAAGUUUUGGAGCCAAGCCAACUGCUUCUUCUCCUGACAUGAAUUAGUAACCUUUGGAGAUGGGAUGAAUAAGAAGAGUCUCAAGAUGUCUAUUGUGUUACCCUUAACAUCAUACAAUGACAGACUUCGUGCUACACAUGAUGCUUCCUUGCCACAGGACCUUGGAUUGGAGGUUUUACAUCAGGUUUCUGGCUUUUGUGAUACCAGCUGAAGAGAAAAGAAUCCUGCUUGGACUGGCUGCUGGCAGCUAGGACAGAGGAUUAAAAACUCACUUCUCCACUGGACCUGAUUUGGACAAUUUUCAUCUGAAGAUCCUGGCCCAUUGACUGGACUCCAUUUGUGAGAUUUUGUGUUUAGGUUUAUAGAAAUGAGGGUUUAAGAUUAAUUGUAAUAAUUUUCCUUACCCUUUCCCCCCAAAACCUGAUUUUUAUAUGUUUCCUUCUUGUUCUUUCCCCUAAAAAAAUCCAAAUAUUACAAUGUUAUCUCCAGAGAAUGAACUGAAAGGUUAAAACAUUUCUAAGGACAAACUUAACUUAAUUUGUAUGAAUAUGCCUGUCUGAUGGUGCCUCCUAUGAUGUGGAGAGAAUGGAAAGGGGAUACUUGUGGGUAAAUUCUAUUAACA
RNAcentral lists this long non-coding RNA (909 nucleotides) under Monodelphis domestica (gray short-tailed opossum). Its description in RNAcentral is "lncRNA (ENSMODG00000049453.1)". The record is from RNAcentral. Lineage: Eukaryota; Metazoa; Chordata; Mammalia; Didelphimorphia; Didelphidae.